AAAUUCAUGGAAGGAGGGUACAGAUUGCUGCUCAUGGGAUGGGGUCACUUGUGACCACCUAAAUGCUCAUGUUAUUGCCCUUGACUUGAGCUGCAGUUGGCUAUAUGGCACCUUCCCUUCCAAUACCACUCUCUUCCUUCUUCCUCACCUUCAAAAACUCAACCUUGCCUACAAUCAUUUUAAUUCUUCCAAAAUUCCAUCCGAGUUCGGUCGGUUUACAAGCCUAUUCUACCUCAACCUUUCCAAUACAUGGUUUUCAGAAGUCCCAUCCCAAGUCUCCCACCUGUCAAAAUUGGUUUCACUUGAUCUCUCCUCUCGGAUUGAUUACUCUGGGCAAGUUACAAUUGACAAACAUGCUCUGGAGGGACUUGUUCACAACCUAACCGAGGUCAGACAUCUGUUUUUGGAUGGAAUCAACAUGACUUCUGUUAAUGCUCAUGUCUUCAUGAAUCUAUCCUCUUCUCUAAGGUCUCUCAGUCUUGCUUUUUGUGAUUUGCAAGGAAAAUUCCCAAAAAACAUUUUUGAUUUGCAAAACCUCAAUCUCCUCAACUUGAGAUACAACCAAUUGAGUGGACAAAUUCCAAGAUCAUUGGGGAACCUCUUGCAACUCACUCAUUUACACUUGUCGGGGAACCAAUUGAGUGGACAAAUUCCAUUGUCAAUUCUAAACCUAACGCAGUUGGAAUACUUGGAAAUAUCUGAAAAUUCUUUAGAAGGUUCCAUUCCAGAUGAGGUAACCGCUUUUCCUAAUCUAAUAUAUUUAUACUUAUCUGACAAUUUACUCAAUGGAACACUUCCGUCAUGGUUGUAUACUGCUCCCUGCUUAAAGGAAAUAUAUCUCUCUCAAAAUCAAUUCAGUGGGCAUAUCAAAGAAUUCCAAACCAAAUCACUAGAAUAUUUAUAUCUAGAAAAUAAUAAACUCCAAGGUCCCCUUCCAUCUUCAAUAUUCCAACUUCUCAAUCUUACCGGGCUCCUUUUAUCCUCAAAUAAUCUUAGUGGUGUCAUAGAGUUGAGCAUGUUCUCAAACCUUCCAAAUCUCAAAUAUCUUGACCUUUCAUAUAACAGCCUAUCCUUAAUAUCUAAUACUACUUCUACUGUUAAUCAUAUAUUGCCUAAUCUUACAGGCUUACAUUUGUCAUCUUGCAAUCUUAGUGAAUUCCCCCAAUUUUUGAAAGGGCUUAAAAGUUUGGAAAGCUUAGACCUCUCUUGCAACAAAAUUGAAGGCAAGAUUCCACAGUGGAUGCAAGAGGUGGGGAAUGUCUCUUUGACUUACUUCAACGUAUCUCACAACUCUUUGACAGAAGUUGAGCACUUUCCAUGGAAGAAUAUUGAUGUUCUUGACUUAAGCUCCAAUUUGAUCAGUGGAAAUCUUCCGAUUCCAGCUUCGACGAUCAGAGUCUUUCUGAUCUCAAAUAAUAGUUUCAAUGGAGAGGUCUCUUCUUUAAUAUGCAAUGCCAGUUCUCUUCAAAUUCUUGAUUUGUCCCACAAUAACUUGAGUGGAACAAUUCCGCAAUGUUUCGGAAAUUUGAGCGACAGCCUUGAAUUCUUGAAUCUGAAGAAGAACAAGUUUUAUGGGACGAUUCCUCCAACAUUUGCAGAGGGAUGCCAGUUGACUAAUUUCAACUUAAAUGGAAAUCUGUUAGAAGGGCCUUUGACACCAUCCAUCCUUAAUUGUAGAGGUCUGGAAGUGCUAGAUCUUGGUAACAACAAGAUCAAUGAUACAUUUCCUCAUUGGUUGGGAAAUCUUCCAUAUUUGCAAGUUCUUGUAUUGAAGUCAAAUCAUAUGCAUGGUUCUUUGCGUGUCAAUAGCUCCAAGUCUAGCCCCUUUUUCUCUAAAAUCCAAAUUUUUGACCUCUCAAGUAAUUAUUUUUCUGGACCCCUACCUGUGAGGUACAUCAACAGCUUCAAGGCUAUCAGAAAUCUAGAGAAGAUUCGUAGUACAGUGUCGUACAUGGGGGUGAAUGGUCGGAAUGGUAGUGGCUUCUAUACCUAUUCCAUUGGAAUUGUUAUGAAAGGACAAGAUAUGGAAUUGGUGAAAAUUUUCACCAUGUGGAUGAUCAUUGAUCUAUCAAACAAUCAGUUUGAAGGGGGUAUUCCAGAGGUUUUUGGAAAGCUUAACUUACUGAAAGGGCUCAACCUUUCUCAUAAUAACCUUAGUGGUGGUAUCCCCACCUCAAUAGGGAAUUUGACAAGUCUUGAAUGGUUGGACCUAUCUUCAAACAGGUUGUCUGGGACGAUUCCAAAUAGAUUGGCAGAUCUGGCAUUUCUUUCGUCCUUCAAUGUUUCUGAAAAUCAACUCCAUGGUCAGAUUCCUCAAGGAAAACAAUUCAACACAUUUGGAAAUGAUUCAUAUCAAGGGAAUAAGGGACUAUGCGGGUUUCCAGUCUCGAAAGGUUGCAACAUCAUUGAGCCAGCACCUCCAAAUGUGCUUGAAAAAGAUGGCUCAAAAUCAAACAUUACUUUUGGUUGGAAAGUGGUGUUGAUAGGUUAUGGAUGCGGAGUGGUGUUCGGAAUGUCCGUGGGAUAUGUUGUUUUCCAAACUGGUAAGCCGAAAUGGUUGGUGAAUUUGGUUGAAAUCCAACAUGAGAAGAUGCGAAGAAGAAAGUCAAAGGAUGGCAGUCGCAGCAAUGGACGAAGAAGGAUCUAGUUAGUGGAAAUGGUGUUCAAGUGUUGAUGUUGUAUCUUCAUAAUUUCUUGUUUUGAAGUCUUUCAAUUUUUUUCCUAUGGUGAAAGGUUGCAUUGCCAUGCAUCUGUCUUUAUUAUUGUAACAAUUCAUCUAUAUUUCAUUGCAUUACGUCCUAUAACAUUUUGUAUGGUUCAACCAUUUAUAUCUUCUUUCAUGACUUCCAUUUUUGAGUCUCAAUAAUCUCUGCAUUCAAGAUUUUGUCAGCUUAUUAAUUGGUGGAUCAAUAAUCUUCAUGCUCAUCUCAUCAUCUUUUUCUCGAGUUUCUUCUGUGUGGAAAAUAAUUUGACAUUCUGCAAAUUUCCACAAUGCUUGUGGAUUACCUUUGGUUAACAGCUAUACAUAUAAAGGAAGAAAACAAGACCAUGUCCAAAUUUCCAAAAAUUAGCCAUUGAUUUUUGAACAGUUAAACUUUCGUAUUCUAUUUUUUAAAAUUGUAAAUUCUCAAAUAAUGUAAAUUAGUCCUAAAACUCAAGUUUUGAAAUCUUUACAAUUUAACCCCUUAUAGUUUCAAACUUUACUGUUUUAUACUCAACUUUCUAAAUUUUCAUAUUUCAUGAUCAUAUAAUUUAGUUACUACAUCAAUAUUUGAGAUUUCACUACUCAAACCCUUACUUCAUUUCGGUCGUUACUUCAAUUUUAUCAAAUUACAUCAUUUUUCAAUUUGAAUGCAUUGAUGUGAAAUUGAGGGACCACUAAACAAUGUUGAUGAGAGUUUAGGCAAAAUUGGUGGAUCCGAUCUCCUUAGUAAUUUCUUUGUGGAAGUACCUACUUUCACAAUGCAAACUUGGAUAGUUUGUGGUGGACGAUGAUGAAUCAUUUCACAGUCAAACACAUAAUUUUUAAACACAAAAUUAACGAUAUAUUGAAAUCAUUAUUGAAAUUAUAAUCAAAAUUAAUACAUGUUCUUUUUAUUAGCUUAAGGGCGUAAAAACCCUUCAAAAUUUUCAAAAAAAAAAAAUUUAAGUCCUUUUUUUCUACUCAAUUGAGCACUUAAACUUUUAAAAUGUAUCAAAAAUAUCUUUACACUUCUUCAAAAAAAGCAAUUAAACCCCUUUUUUUUCCGCUCAAUUGGGUACUUGAACUUUCAUAAUGCAUAAAAAAAACCUUAAAUUUUUUUUCAAAGAAACAAUUAAGCCUCUAUUUUUUUCCCACUCAAUUGGGUACUUGAACUUUCAUAAUGCAUCAAAAAGGCCUUUAUUUUUUUUCAAAAAAGCAAUUAAGCCCCUACUCUUAUUAAAAAUUAGAAAAAAUCAUAAAAAUAAUAAAGUUCAAGUACCCAAUUGAGUGCCAAAAAAUAAAGUAGGGGCCUAAUUGCUUUUUUUGAAAAUGUUUGAGGGUCUUUUUGAUGUAUUUUGAAAGUUCAAGUACCCAAAUGAGUGCAUAAAAAGAACAGGGGUUUAGUUGCUAUUUUUGAAAAAGUUUGCACCCUUAAACCUCUUUUCUUUUUCUUUUUCAUAUGUGGCCUUGUUUGCUACAACUUAGUUGCUAAGUUAAAGGGAGUGAAUAGAGCACCAUUUUCUUCUUCUGCGUGGAAAAUUAAGUUGGCAUUAUGCCAAUUUCCACAUUCAUACAUACAAAGGAAGCAAGAGCAAGUCAAUAUACUUUGUAAUCUCAUCAAUUCUAAUUUUUAAAGUGUUGUUUACUACACACUUAGGGACCAUAUAUGUAUAUAUACAUUGCAGUCUGGGUCUUUGUCGUGUUUUGUUGGUUGGCUAUGGCCUUCUUGUUGUUUCCACUGUCUGCGGUGUUUGUUUCUAAGUCAUAUGUGGCCCUGUUUGCUACAACUUAGUUGCUAAGUUAAAGGGAGUGAAUAGAGCACCAUUUUCUUCUUCUGCGUGGAAAAUAAGUUGGCAUUAUGCCAAAUUCCACAUUCAUACAUAUAAAGGAAGCAAGACCAAGUCAAUAUACUUUCUAAUCUCAUCACUUCUUCUUUCUUUAGGGAGUUCAAGUGAAAUACAAAUUUUUUCACAUCCAAUCUCAUAAAUAAUCCGUCUUUGAACUUUCACCAAAAAAUAUUAAAUACCCAUUCACUUCAAUUCUACUAUUCUUAAAUCAUUAAAGUUUUGUGGAAAAUAUGCUUCUUGGAUAAAAUUAUUCAACACACAUGCCUUGAAUUUUAUGCAAAUAAAAUAAAUGAAUAUAGGCCACACAUGCUUUGAAUUUUUAAGUAGUCCAUAAUUUUGUUCGUUUGUGUGCAAAAUUCUACAUUGCUUGACAGCCAUACAUACUAAGUAAAUAGACACCCACAUUGUUUACAUAUUAUGAGGAAGAAGACCAAGUCAAUCUACUUUGUAAUCUCAUCAAUCUUAAUUUUUUCAGUUGUUUAGGGAGUUCAAAUGAAAUACAAAAUUUUGAAAAAAAAAUGUAUCCAAUUUUGUGAAUGAAAAAUUUAUGGUAAAAAGGAUUUGGUAUGGAUACUUCAGCCCGGGUAGCAAUACUCAGGGUAAGUUUAUCAAUACAUUGCUUUUGGUUGGAAAGUGGUGUUGAUAGGUUAUGGAUGCGGGGUAGUGUUUGGAAUGGCCAAAAUAUAGCAAUCGCAUCAGUGGAUGAAGAAGGAUCUAGUUGGUGCAAAUGAAGUUAAAGCAUUUCUGCCGUCUCUUCAUAAUUUCUUGUUUGGUAGUCUGUCAGAAAGUUUUUCCUAUGGUGAAAAGUUUGAGUUGCAUUUAUAAAAUUUCCACUGUCAAAAGAUUCGAUUGCACUGCAGGGUAACAUAUUUAAGAUUGGAUUACACUGUCAAAAGAUUGCAGCAACGAUGAGAUUAAUCCAAUUACAGGAAUUGGUAUCCUAAAUGGCUUUUUGGUACGUAGCUUCAUUGACGGUACAAACUAGUUAAAAUUUCCAGCAUUCAUGUGUUUGUUUUCCCUCAAGUAAACGUAGUCAAUACUGCAAAUGGUGUGGAAGUACUGUACAUUGUGGCCCAAAUGUCCAAAAUUUCCACAUUGCAUGUAAAUUAAGUUUGCGUGAGAGAGAUAGGAGGAAGCAACAGCAAGUGUGAAGUCAAUAGACAACUGAUAGUCUUAGUCUUUUUUUGUCGAGUUAAAGUGUAGUCAAUAGACAAUUGAUAGUCUUAGCCCUUUUUGUGGAGUUAAAAGUAUAGUCAAUAAACAAUUGAUAGUUAAAUUUGUAGCAUUCUUCUUCCUCUUUAUUCUUUUGUGUGGAAAAUUAUUUGGGACCAAACUUGACGUGUUAUAAGGAAGAAGACUUUGUAAUCUCAUGAAUGUUAAUUAUUUUACUUCUUUGGUAAAAAAAGUAACCAAUUUUAUGAAUGAAAAAUAUUAUGUGGUAAAAAGGAAGUAGUUGUUCAUCACUAACAAUAUGAUGAUUGUGGAAAUACAAAAAAUCCCAUAUAUGUGUUGAAUUCUGCAUAAUAUAAAUGUCCUGCAUUGCAUGUGAAUUCUGCAAUAGACCAAACUUUACGUGUUAUAGUCCUUUAAACUGAGUUAAUGAAAAGUAACCAUUCUUAUCAAAUUUAGUUAUACUCUUAAUUUAUAACAAAGGAAAGAGUAAUUUGAGUUUAACUCAAAGGUUAAUAUGUCAUCAAUGGGUGAUGGCGUGGCGCUACCAUGUCAGCGAUUAUUUUCUUCUUUGAAUUAAGGUGAUUUCACCAAUUUUAGUUUACUUUUUUACUUCAAUUUAGGUUUAUGCUUAUUAGCUUCAAAGAUUCUAAGUGGGUGCCACAAUCAAAGGGUGAGUAAAAAGGGUUAAAAAUGAUUUUUUUAAAAUUUUUUAUUUUUAUUAAAAAUUUAGAAUUAGAAUUAGACAAAUUUUGUAAAAGUUAAGGGCUAACUUUAUUGAUUUUUUUUUUCAGAAUUCGAACUAAAAUUACAUUUUGUAAAAAGAGCUAAAUUUGUUGAGUUUUUUAUAUUUAGGAUCAAAUUGAUAGAAUGUGUAAAUAUUAGAGGUUAAAUUUGUUAUUAGAUCAAUAAAAAAACCCACAUUAGCUUUGCGUCACUCAUCUAACGACAACUAAAGGGAGAGUUAUUAAAAUAUUUAAUUUCAAAAAGUUUAGCAACUAAAUUGGAAAAUUUAAUAGUUGGGUGACUAUUUUUGCAGUUUACUACUUUUUUGGUCACCUGACUAUUAAGUGACACUUUUUAGUUGGUAUAAUAAUAAUUUUAGUCCUCAAUUUUUAUACUUUCUGUCAAUUUGACUCUGAUUAUAUAAAAUGAUUACAAAAGUGAAAUUCUUUUUAAAAUUUACAAAAUUCUAAAAAUUAAAAAUUAAAUGAAAGUAGAUAAAAAUUUCAAAUAUAAACAAAGUGAGAGAAAAUGAGGGAAAUAUUAUUUUUAAACCCUCCAACUUUUCUUUGUAUUAUCGUAAAGAAAUAUCUAAUAUCCAUUCUUUUAGAAAACAUAGAAAAAAGUAAAAAAAAAAAAGAUUAAGUAAAAUUAUCUGUAUAUAAUCUGCUUUUAUAAUUUGGGUUUUUAAAAAUAAAUUUAAAUGAAUUGAAAAUUCGAAUUGAGUUUGAAAAAUAAAAUUUUGUGGUAUAUUUUAUAUUUUUGCUAGAAAAAUGGCAUCAAAGUUGAUUUUGUAAGCUUUUGUAAUAUCAGUUACGGAUGUUCUUCAAGGGCAUGGAACUCAACUUGAAAAUUUUACUAAUUUGGUUGCAAAAAAACAUUGAGGAAGCAUAUAAUGAUCUAACCUUUUUUGUUUUGUUUUGUUUUUAAUUUGUUAUGGGAUUCUAUUGAAUGAUAAUUUUUUUUUAUUUCCCAUACAUAUUAGUUCUUCAAAAACAACAUAUUCGAGAUUUUAUUUUUCUAGAAUUUUUAUAUAGAAGUUUAUAUUUUUUAAAAUAAAUUUGAGUUUUUUUUAGAAUUUUUAUAUAGAAUCGAGGUAAAUUGGCAAAAAAAAUUAUAAAAACAAAAUACUAAAAUUGUUAUUAUAGCAACUAAAAAGUGUCAUUUAACAAUAGGGUGACCAAAUUGUAACUUUUUUAGUUAAGUGACCAAAACGAAGAUUUACCCAUAGUUUAGUGGCUAAUUAUGUAGUUUACCCUUUCAUAAUUAAAAAAUAGUUGUUAAGUUUUUCUUGUAUUAGAUAACAAUUUAGAUGGUAAAAACCCUCUUUAGUCCCUCUCAAUUUUGAUAUUAAGUAAAAUUGUCCAUUUAAAAAAAAAAUCAAAGCAAUUUAAUAUUUGUUAAUUUCGAAAGUGAGCAACUAAGGACAAUUAAUCACAAUGUCAAUAUUUUCCAUCAAUUGUACAUAUUUUUAUUGGUGUAAUAACAAAUUUAGCUCUCAAAGUUUACACAUUCUGUCAAUUUAGUCUUGAUUUAACAAAUUUAACCCGCAACAAUUACAUAUUCUAUUAACAUUGACACAUAAUAUAUAAACAUUGAGAGCUUAAUUUUUUAUUGUAUCAAUAAAAAUUAUGUACAAUUUACAUAAAGCAUUAACACAAUGAUUAAUUGUCCUUAGUUGCUCCCUUUCAAAAUUGAUCAUGAUUAAAUUGCUCUAAUUUUCUGAGAGGAACCAAUUUGUUCAAUAUAGAAAUUGAGAGGGACGAGAAAUGUGUUUUUUAUCCAUUUUAGAUACCAACAAGUGUUUGGCAUAGUCGCAAGACAUAUUACAUUCUCAAGGAGAGAAUGCGUAGUCAAACGUUGGAGAUAUCAAUGUUGUGUGGGGUAUCCAAGGAUCUCGAACACGAACUGUAAAACAUAUAUAAAGAAUAAAAAAAUAACAUCUUAAUUUAAAUAAUUAUAAAUUUUAAUUUGAAAAAAGUAUUUUGAGAAACAUAAGUUUUAGAAGUAGUAAAAUUGAAUCGAUAAAACAUGUCCAUUAUAUCAGAAUCAUAAAAAUACAACUUAAUUAAUUUGAAUUUAAACUUAACUCAACUCGACUUGAUUAUAAAAACUGAUAAUUUGAAUUCAAAAUGACAUGAUCUUGAAAUGAUUUGAAUUAAUUGUCAGACCCGAACGACAAAACUCGAAAUGAUGCAAUCCAAAAACACAAAUCAAGUGAACUAAACUACGAAAAAAAAAACCUUACACUGACUCAAAUCCAAAAUAGUUUAAUCCUAAAAUAACCUAAAUUUUAUAUAAUAAAAACUCGAAAUAACCCGAAAAUUUUUAAAUUAAAAUUGAUCCGACCCAAAUUCACACCACCUAAAAUCAAUCGUAACCACCUAAUUAAAAAGCAUGAAAUGAAAUGAUGUAAAGAGAAAAUCAGAGAAAACCAAAUAGAAAGUAACAAGCCUUUUUCAGAAUUGAAAGCAAAUUCCGUACAUUCACGACAUGCAUAAAACAACAAUGGUUUAUAGAAUUUGAGUUUUAGUCCCUGUACUUUAAAAGUUAAUUUUUCUUAAUUUAAAAACUUUAGUUUAAUCAUUUAUGUUGGUUGUAGUUUCCGUUAGCUUAAUCAACAUGUUAAAUUACUAAAUUUUGACAAAAAAUACUUACGAGUUUAAUGAUUGUACCGAGAUUUUUAAAUAAAAAAGUCGGAAGACUAAUUUCUAACCUUUUAAAUAUAGGGACUAAAAGCAUCUUUUAACUUUGAUAUUAUUAUUAUAAGCAGGGAUAAUGUCACCUUUGGCAUCUGUACUUUCAUAAAAUGUCUAGUGGUACAAGUACUUUGAAAAUAUAUAAUGUGGUACCUGAACUAUCAAUAGGUGUUAUUAUUAUGGUACAUGUACUUUGAAAAUGUUUAAUGUGGUACCUAAACUAUCAAUAUAUAUUUUAUUAUGAUACUUGAUAAAGACGGACUAUGGUGGCUUAGGGGGCUCUUUGUCCCGCCACCCUUGCAAAAAAAAAAAAAAUCGAAGAAUUUUGUUUUUUCCUUUAAAAUUUUUAGAAAAUUUCAAUUAGGCCCUCAAAAUUUUUGAAAAUUUUCAUUAUACCUUUUAAUUUUUUUGAAAAUUUUAAUUAAGCACUCUUAAAUUUUGAAAAUUCUCAUUGAUCUCACAAAAAUUUUAAAAUUUUUUAUUAGACCCCCAAUUUUUUUAAAAAAAAUCUUAUUAAACCAUUAAAUUUUUAGCAAAUUUUACCUGCCCCCUCCCCCCCAAAAAAACCUAGUCCCAACUACUAGUAUCCGCCAUUGUUACUUGGUAUUAACACUGUUAGAAAAUUGCUAAAUCAACCAAUAAAAAUUUGACACAUAGAACCCUUUUUUUAAUUAUCAAGUCCACGUGGAUAAUAUAAUAGUGAAAAAAUAAAUAAAAAAUAAUUAAAUGAAAUUAAAAAACAAAUAACUAAACAUAUGGUUAAUAAAAAAAAACCCAUACUUUCAAAGAUAAUAAAAAAUAUUAUUUAAAAAUCAAUUGAAAAUAUUAUUUUAAAAGGAAAACUCUUUGAAGAAGAUGAUCAUUUGCUUAAAUGGAGAAUAUAAUAUUUUUGGUUAUGUAAGUUUAGUAUUUACUUCUUUUUUAUUAAUCAUAUGUUUAGUUUUUUUUUUAAUUAAUUUAAUUGUUUUAUUUAGUUUUUCACAUAAUGUUAUUUUACACAUGCGGACUUGAUGAAUUAGAAAAAAAAUAUUAUGUGUCAAAUUUUCAUUGGUUGGUCUAAUAAUUCAUUAACGGUGGAUUUGUUCUACAUUGAUGACAAAGAUGUGGAGUUUAAAGAAGUAAGAACUUAUCAACAAUAUUCGAGGUUCUGUUAUAUGUUACCUUAUUAAAAAAGUCAUCACUUAAAUUCUUCUAUGUUGCCUUAUGUAUGUAGGUUCUUGAGUCACCUUUGCCAAAAGCACCGCUUGAUACAUCUGUUACAUCCCACUGGCUUGCGAUUGAAGGCAUUCAACCAGCAAUUCCAGAAAAUGCUUCAAUUGAAGGUACCGUCUUAGCUAACCUAAAUAUUCUCUCGAAGCUAUUUGUGUUGAAGACUCUCAUGGUUCAUGUUCUUUUCUGGUUUUAUCACUUUAAUCUAAUACGACUUAUCGUCAUUUCUACACGGAAUUUGUAUUUUGCUUUCCAUGCAGCACCUUCUGAUGGUAAAAAGGCUGAAUACAAAAAAGAUGGGCUUUCCGUUGAUGUCAAAUUACCUGUUAAGCAUGUAUUAUCUAGAGAGCUUCAAGUAUGUUGUACAUCUUCAGCAACAUUUUUCUGUUAAAAUACAUUUUGCACAGAAUGAUAUUAAAAGACUAAUUUGGUUGUCAUGCAGCUUUACUUUGACAAGAUCGUGGACAUUACCAUGAAUAAAUCAGUCUCAAUUCUCUUUAAACAAGCAUUACUGAGUUUGGCAACAGACUCGGGAUUACAUCCUUUAGUUCCUUAUUUUACAUAUUUUUGCGGAUAUCUCAUACCUGAUUAUAUAUGUGUGUUGCAAAGAACUUUUGGUUGGUUAUCUCGAGCUUACAUUUUUGCCACAUUUAUCUCAGGUUGCACGGAGUAAUUUCCCUCUCAUGUUUGCUUUGAUGCGUGUUGCCCGGAGUCUUCUCCAGAAUGAACACUUACACAUAGAACCUUACUUGAGUUUAUUAUUUCAAUCAUUUAGAAGUACACGAACUAAUGCAAAUAUGCUAGUGGUUUAUUUUCCACCUAUCUGAUUUUUUAAAAUGUUCUUCAGUUACACCAGUUGAUGCCAUCUAUUAUUACCUGCCUCGUUGCAAAAAGGUUAGGAAAUAAAUUCACCGACAAUCAUUGGGAACUUAGAAACUUCGCAGCAAAGCUAGUGGCAUCAUUAUGCAAAAGGUGAGGAUUUCUUUUCUUUUGGACUUAUACAUGCAUAUUCGUUUUUAUGAAUCUCAGGUGUCUGAUUUUUUAGUUAUAAACUUGGAUCUAUUCUUCAAAUCAUGUGUAUAUCAUUUUUAUGCUAUUUCACACAUGCAAAACAAAUGGUGCGAGCGUGCAUGUUAUAUGCAGAAUGCAUAGAUUAAUUACAUGUGGAUCAUUAAGCAUGCCUAUGUUUGACCAUUGUGUGUGGCUACUUUUUUUUACAUGAUCCAAUUUUCGAUAUGCUUUGCUUUUAGGUUGAAUGCGGAAAAGAUUAGAACUUAGUUUCCAGCAUAAUGAUUUGUCUUGGAUAUGCAGAUUUUUACAUGCAUUUCUUACAAGUCAAUAUUUUAUAGAUUUGGGCAUGUUUAUCACAAUCUUCAGCCACGUGUGACAAGGACACUGCUCCAUGCUUUUUUGGACCCAACGAAAACAUUUCCCCAGCAUUACGGAGCAAUUCAAGGGUUAGCAGCCCUUGGACCCAGUGUGGUAUAAUUCUAAUCUCAAAUAUUUACUAGCAACACAAUAAGAUACUUGUUUGUGGGAUCAACUGGUCAAAGAUAUUGCAAUGAUAGCCAUCUUUUUAAGCCCAUUUCUUUCAGAAAACUGUUUUGUCACUCUUUUCUGCAAGAUCCGAAGAAAGAAAGAACUUGGAAAUCUAUAGUCCAAAAGUGUAAAUAUGCGGUUUCUCUAUAGGUAUCUUUAUUAUGGCAUCUGUACAGUUUGUCUUUCAUAUGUUUGGCUAACGCUUCUUCUUCCAUGUGUAGGUUCGUUUACUUAUACUACCAAAUCUUGAAGCGUAUUUGCAGCUUCUUGAACCUGAAAUAAAAAGACACGAGGCCUGGUGUGUUUAUGGGGCCCUGCUGGUAAGUUCCACAUCAAAUUUGGUACCAGUUUAUGAGCAUCGUUUCAUUUAUUUGCUGUAGAACUAACAACACUGCAUAAAAUUUCCACUAACAGCGUGCAGCUGGACUGUGCAUGUAUGAUCGGCUUAAAAUGUUCCCCAGUUUGCUAGCACCCCCAACUCGUCCCGUUUGGAAAAGCAACAACAAAGUUGCGACAAGUAUGAUUUCUUCGAACCAUCAUAUUUACACUUAAUCCACAAGUCUCUUCUCCCCCUUUACGAUAUUCCUUUUUCUGAUCAACCAAGAUAAACGAAAAGCAAGCACGGACACCUUGAUGCAGCAGCAACAACCUGCCAAGAAAAUAGCAACUGAGAGUGCAAUAGGUAUGAUGCCAAUAAAUUCCAUGCAAGCUGAUUUACAAGGGUCAGUUAGCGGCUUUUCUACCACCGUAGGAGGUUCCAAUAUCGGUGUAUCAUCAAUGUCACGGCCGUUAUCAAACUAUAACAUGCUUGGAAGGGAGGCUGGGGGUCGAGUUUCAAAGACAUCAACCGUUCUAGCUCAGGCUUGGAAGGAAGACACAGACGCAGGGAACUUGUUAGCAUCAUUAUUUGAACUUUUUGGUGAAAGUAUGUUAUCAUUUACUCCCAAACCUGAGCUUUCAUUCUUCCUUUGAUUGAAUUUCACCUCCAAAAGCUAUAGUUUUUGAAGGAAUUUGUGUAAAUUAUCCCCAUAGUUUUUUUCAGUCUUACUGUGUUUAUCUUUAUAAGUCUUCUUUUUUUCCUUGCUCAUAAAUGUAUUGUAGUUAUCAGAAAAUAUAUUCUACUUUGGAUUUUGUUUAUAUUAAAUUUUAGGUUAAAUUCUGCUAUUAGUCUCUGUAUUUACGAAAAUGAUGGAUUUAGUCCUUAUACCUUAAUUUGAUCAAUUUUAGUCAUUGUAUUUUUUGAAUUGGUCAAUUUUAAACUAUUUACUUUUUGAAGUUUGAAAUUUUAGUCUUGAUCCAAAUAAUAAUAAUAAUUAAAUCUGCUUAUUUAAAUUCAAUUAUUAGUUUUGUAUUAUGUAGAUAGUUAUAAAUUUAGGGUGGGUUUGGAUGGGCUGUGCUUUUACCUGCAGUUAGUGUAAAAAUAGCGGCGGUGGUGAGAUUAGAUAUCCAAGGUACCUAAUUUUUAUUUUGGCCAUAAGUACUACUAAAACUAUUCUUCCGUUACCCAUUUUAUACCAAAAUGUUAUAUCGGCUAAAAAGAUUCCAACAAAUAAUAGAUUGUAUGUCAUAUAAACUUUUUUAAAAAAUCAUUAAUUAAUUAAUUUUUAUAUUUUUCUUUCUUAUUCCUUUAUAAUGUUUGACAAUGUCGAUAAUGCUUGAAAUUGGCCCACUUGAGGUCGAAACGCUGGUGAUUAAUUUUGGUUUUGAAUUUCACCACCUACUUCUCUGACCAGAGGGGAUAGAAAAAGUUCUUUCAUCGAUCAAAACUAGUAUUUUCAAAAACAGACUGAUUCUACGGGUUGGAUAGGAAAUCGGUUUGGAAAUAGGGGUUGAAUCGAUUGACUUGCGAGCAAAAACAAAUCGGUUGAACUAAGCUAAAAAAACUGGUUGAAUAAGUUCUCUCUUUUUAUAUAUAUAUAAAUAAUAAUAGGCUUUGUUUUUACUACAUGUCAAUUUUUAAUUGGUUAAUUUUUUUUUCAUAUAAAUUGAACAAUUUGACUAAUGACGGAGGUACCAAAUUAUAGUCUAGGUACCAAUUUAUGGGUUAAGCCUAUUUAUAAAAUAGACUUUUGACAGUUUGACUAAUGGCGGUAGUAACUUGGGAAAAAAAAGUAGUUUAUGUACCACUUGUGACAAAAAAUAAGAUUAGGUACCAACAUGGGAAAAUGAGUAUAAUUUAGAUACCGAUUUAUGAGUUAAGCCUAAUAUAUUUGUCGCAUAAUUUUUUGAAAAUAACAGAACUUAAUAAAUUUAACGGUUAUUGUUUGGUGAUUACUAAAAUUUUAAAAUUUGAAAAGUACAUGAACUAAAAAUGACCAAAUUAAAAUAUAAAUAUUAAGUCCACAACUUUUGCAAAGUACAAGGACUAAUUGCAGAAAUUAACCUAAAUUUCAUAUGGGUCAAUUACAAAAAUAAUCACUAAACUAUCCCUUUGGUUCUAUUCUAGUCACUCAACUAUAUAGGUGCUCAUGAGCUUGGCCAGGUCAGGCCUAAGUAAGGGUGAGCAUUCGAUUGAAUCGAAAAUAGGGUUUGGGAUAGAUGGGAGGGGAAUAAAAGUUUUAGGGGAAAAGUGGGAGGGAGUAAAAAUUUUGGGAGAAAAUAAAAGGUUUUGAGGGUUUUGGGGAGUAAAAUAUUGAGAAAAAAUAAAUAGGAGAGUAAAAUUUUGGUGGGAAAUGGAUUUUGGGUAGAUUGGGGGGUUGGGAGGGGAGGGGAGUAAAAGUUUUGGGGGGAAAGUGGGAAGGAGUAAAAGUUUUGAGGGAAAAGUAAAAAAGUUUGGGAGUUUGGGGUAAAAAUGUAAAAUAUUAUAGUUUGAUAUUCGAAUUAUUCGAAUUAUUCGAGUUAUUCGAAUUCGAAAACUCAACUCGAUUCGAACUCGAAAUUCGAAAAAAAAUUCGAGUUGAUUCGAAUAACUCGAUUCGUUUAACUCGAAAUUUGAAUUUUUUUCAAUUUUUUCGAGUCGAAUCGAGUUUUGCUCACCCCUAGUUGCAAGUGCAACUUGCGUGGUGGCUGCCAGAAGGACUGAAUCGUAAAUGUAGCAAAAGUUUUGGGGCAAAAAUGUAAUUUUGAGAAAGUUUAGGGUCAAAAUAUAAUUUUAAAAAAUAUUAAGGGUUAAAAUAUAAUUUUAUAAAAAUUUAAGGGUCAAAAUGAAAUUUUAGAAAAGUUCAGAGGUCAAAAUACAAUUUUUAAAUUUUUUUUAAAAAAAAAAACACGAAAUUAUUCCCACAAAAUUAAGUGAUUACACGUAACUUUUCAAUGUAAAAGAAAAAAAAGACUGUAACACCAAUGUUGUGGUGUUAUUUGUUGCCUAUAAAUACCAUUCCUAUUCUUCAUCUUCCUCUGCAAACAUAACAUGGCCCCCUAUCUCUUUCUCUGCCUAUUCCUCUUCUUUCCCCGUCUUUAUGCUUCUUUUUCUUCUUCAGGAUAUCAGUCCUGCUCUUCAUUAAUCCAGUUUAAGGACUCUUUUUCCAUAACAGAGGAUGCUUCUUCUGAUUGCAAUGAGAUUGCUGGCCUUAAAUCUUAUCCCAAGACAAAUUCAUGGAAGGAGGGUACAGAUUGCUGCUCAUGGGAUGGGGUCACUUGUGACCACCUAAAUGCUCAUGUUAUUGCCCUUGACUUGAGCUGCAGUUGGCUAUAUGGCAACUUCCCUUCCAAUACCACUCUCUUCCUUCUUCCUCACCUUCAAAAACUCAACCUUGCCUACAAUGAUUUUAAUCUUUCCAAAAUUCCAUCCGAGUUCGGUCGGUUUACAAGCCUAUUCUACCUCAACCUUUCCCAUACAGAGUUUGAAGGAGAAGUCCCAUCCCAAGUCUCCCACCUGUCAAAAUUGGUUUCACUUGAUCUCUCCUCUCGGAUUGAUUACUCUGGGCAAGUUACAAUUGACAAACAUGCUCUGGAGGGACUUGUUCACAACCUAACCGAGGUCAGACAUCUGUUUUUGGAUGGAAUGGACAUGUCUUCUGUUAAUGCUCAUGUCUUCAUGAAUCUAUCCUCUUCUCUAAGGUCUCUCAGUCUUGCUUAUUGUGAUUUGCAAGGAAAAUUCCUAAAAAACAUUAUUGAUUUGCCAAACCUCAAUCUCCUCAACUUGGGACGUAACCAAAACCUCAAUCUUGAUCCUUUGAAGUUCAAUCGGAGCAGCAAUCUCGAACAUUUGGAUCUGUCGUGGAUGUCCUUCUCUACAGAAUCCGUUAAUUCAGUUGAUAAUCUACAGGCCUUAAAGUACUUAGAUCUAUCAGGAAAUUCUUUCUUUCAAGGAUUGUCUGUCUCAAUCACAAAUUUAUCAUCUUUGGAGCAAUUGAUAAUUUCAGGCGCAAAUUUUUUUGGAGGAUUGCCUGACUCGAUGGGGAAUCUUGUGUCCUUGAAGUUUUUAUUUCUCUCCGAUUCCAACUUUUCAGGACCGCUUCCAAGAUCACUGGGAAACCUCUUUCAACUCAAGUGUUUAGACUUGAGAUCAAACAAAUUGAGUGGACAAAUUCCAUUGUCAAUUCUAAACCUAACGCAGUUGGAAUACUUGGAAAUAUCUGAAAAUUCUUUAGAAGGUUCCAUUCCAGAUGAGGUAACCGCUUUUCCUAAUCUAAUAUAUUUAUACUUAUCUGACAAUUUACUCAGUGGAACACUUCCGUCAUGGUUGUAUACUGCUCCCUCAUUAGACAGUAUAGGUCUCUCUCAAAAUCAAUUCAGUGGGCAUAUCAAAGAAUUCCAAUCCAAAUCACUAGAAUUGAUAGCGUUAGAGAGUAAUAAACUCCAAGGUCCUCUUCCAUCUUCAAAAUUCCAACUUCUCAAUCUUACCCACCUCUCUUUAUCCUCAAGUAAUCUCAGUGGUGUCAUAGAGUUUCGCAUGUUCUCAAACCUUCCAAAUCUAAAACUUCUUGACCUUUCAUACAACAGCCUAUCCUUAGCAUCUAAUACUACUUCUUGUGUUAACCAUAUAUUGCCUAAUCUUACAGACUUACGUUUGUCAUCUUGCAAUCUUAGUGAAUUCCCCCAAUUUUUGAAAGGGCUUAAAAGUUUGAAAAGGUUAGACCUCUCUUGCAACAAAAUUGAAGGCAAGAUUCCACAGUGGAUGCAAGAGGUGGGGAAUGGCUCUUUGACUUACUUAAACGUAUCUCACAACUAUUUGACAGAAGUUGAGCACUUUCCACGGAAGAAUAUUGAAGUUCUUGACUUAAGCUCCAAUUUGAUCAGUGGAAAUCUUCCGAUUCCAGCUUCGACCAUCAAUGUCUUUUUGAUCUCAAAUAAUAGUUUCAAUGGAGAGGUCUCUUCUUUAAUAUGCAAUGCCAGUUAUCUUAAAAUUCUUGAUUUGUCCCACAAUAACUUGAGUGGAACAAUUCCGCAAUGUUUUGGAAAUUUGAGCAACAGCCUUCAAUUCUUGAAUCUGAAGAAGAACAAGUUCUAUGGGACGAUUCCUCCAACAUUUGCAGAGGGAUGCCAAUUGACUAAUUUCAACAUAAAUGGAAAUCUGUUAGAAGGGCCUUUGACACCAUCCAUCCUUAAUUGUAAUGAACUGGAAGUGCUAGAUCUUGGUAACAACAAGAUCAAUGAUACAUUUCCUCAUUGGUUGGGCAGUCUUCCAUUUUUGCAAGUUCUUGUAUUGAAGUCAAAUCAUAUGCAUGGUUCCUUGCGUGUCAAUAGCUCCAAGUCUAGCCCUUUUUUCUCUAAAAUCCAAAUUUUUGAUCUCUCGAGUAAUUAUUUUUCUGGACCUCUACCUGUGAGAUACAUCAACAGCUUCAAGGCUAUCAUAAAUCUAGAUAAGAUUGGGAGUACAAUGUCGUACAUGGGGGUGUAUGCUCAGAGAGGUAGUGGCUUCUAUACCUAUUCCAUUGGAAUUGUUAUGAAAGGACAAGAUAUGGAAUUGGUGAAAAUUUUCACCAUGUGGAUGAUCAUUGAUCUAUCAAACAAUCAGUUUGAAGGGUGUAUUCCAGAGGUUUUUGGGAAGCUUAACUUACUGAAAGGGCUCAACCUUUCUCAUAACAACCUUCAUGGUGGUAUCCCCACCUCAAUAGGGAAUUUGACAAGUCUUGAAUGGUUGGACCUAUCUUCAAACAGGUUGUCUGGGACGAUUCCAAAUAGAUUGGCAGAUCUGGCAUUUCUUUCGUCCUUCAAUGUUUCUGAUAAUCAGCUCCAUGGUCAGAUUCCUCAAGGCAAACAGUUCAACACAUUUGGAAAUGAUUCAUAUGAAGGAAACAAGGGAUUAUGUGGAUUUCCAGUCUCGAAAGGUUGCAACAUCAUUGAGCCACCACCUCCAAAUGUGCUUGAAAAAGAUGGCUCAAAAUCAAACAUUACUUUUGGUUGGAAAGUGGUGUUGAUAGGUUAUGGAUGCGGAGUGGUGUUGGGAAUGUCCGUGGGAUAUGUUGUUUUCCAAACUGGUAAGCCGAAAUGGUUGGUGAAUUUGGUUGAAAUCCAACAUGAGAAGAAGCAAAGACGAAAGUCAAAGAAAGGCAAUCGAAGCAAUAGACGAAGAAGGAUCUAAGUACAGCAAAUGAUGUUCAAGAAUUAGUGUUGUAUUUUCAAAAUUUCUUGUUCUGUAGACCGUUUUGCCCAUGGUGAAGGGUUGCAUUGGUAUGUGUAUGUCUUUAUUAUUGUACCAAUUCCUGUCUUUCAUUGCAUUUCGUACUAUCUGUAAUGGUUUGUUUGAGUGUAACAUUUUGUAUGGUAUUGUUGUUUAUGUCUUCUUUCAUGACUUUCCAUUUAGUCUCGAUAAUCUUUGCUACUGCUCAGUAAAGGAGGAAGGAGAAUAAAAUGUCUCAAUUUAUGUCAAUUUAUGCUUGCAGAUUUGACGUGGAAUGUUGUUGAACUGAAGGUUGUUUAACUUUUGUCUUCUAAGCUAUACAUGAACAUAUGGGAUGUGACAAAUAUUAUUUUAGCUUUUGCUUAUGAAAUGUUGAAAUAGUGAGUUUAUAUUCCUUGAUUAAUAAAAAGUGAGAUGGAGAUAGUCAAACCUCAAUUUCCACAUUGAAAUUGAAUCCAAACAUUAAUUGGUGGAUCACAUGUCUUGUAUUCUGUCAAGUUAAAGGGAGUGAAUAGAGCACCAUUCUUCUUCUGCGUGGAAAAUAAGUUGGCGUUAUGCCAAUUUUCACAUUCAUACAUAUAAAGGAAGCAAGACCAAGUCAAUAUACUUUGUAAUCUCAUCAUUUCUUCUUCAUUCUUUAGGGAGUUCAAAUGAAAUACAAAUUUUUGGUAAAUCAACUCUUCUUUUUUAUGAAUAAAAAUUAUAUGGUAAAAAGGAAGUGGUGUUAAUAAUAAUAAUAAUAAUAAUAAUAACAACAACAAUACAAAACUAAUAAAGCAAUUUAGUCUAUGAUUUGCACAAUGAUUAAUGUAGCGACCUAAAAAUUUAGGCACGAGCGCUAAUUGAAGUGAUUAUUGAAAAUUUGAAAACAGAAUCUCGAUUUUAUUUGAAAAAGGAGUCGCUAUCGAUCUUUUUUUCUAGGUGUGAUCGGACACCUAAUAAAUUCUCUUUUUAGAAGAAAAAUUUAUUUUUAAAUUUUUCUAAAAAUAGGUAAUUUUUCUAAAAAAUUUAGGGGUCAAAAUGUAAUUUUUUAUUUUUUGAAUUUUUUUUGAAAUUUAAAAAAAUAUAUAUAUAUAAACACGACAAAACCCGGACAAAAUUUAGUGCUUACAAUUAAUACCUAAUUUGAUCCUUGAAUUAUAGUUCAAAAAGUAUUUUUAUAUUUUUAAAUUUUCAUAAAAAUAAUUGUAUCAAAAUUUAAAAAUCUUAAAAAUAAAUACAAAUUUUAUAUAAAAAAUCAAUUGGCCCAAGAAAAAAAAUUUACCAACUAAAUUUUCCAUAUCCAAACUCAUAAAUAAUUCUUCUUUGAACUUUCACAAAAAAAUAUUAAAUACCCUUUCACUUUAUCAUUAUAAAUAUAAUAUACAUUUUUUUCCUUCUUUUUCAUGUAGAUCAGCUUCAACUCUACUAUUCUUAGAUCAUUAUAAAUAUAAUAUAUGUUUUAUUUACAGCUGAAAGUAAAACCUUGAGUUGAAAUUUGGCAGAAAAAAUUGUGGGUUUGGAGAAGAAGAAGAGCACUUUGUAUUUAAAUUUAAAAAAUCAAAAAUUUCAAAACUGAAAGUUACUCAAAACCCUAAACAAUCUAAUAAUUGGAGUUAUAGAAAAGAAAUAUGAGUUUAGAAAUAAAUAAAACAAAAUAAAUUUGCAAAACAAUUUCUAGGCAAAACAACAUGAAGUUGUUGAUGUGAUUGAAGGUGUUCUUCAACGGUGGAAAACAAAUAGAAUUUAAUUUGAAAAUUUUAAGAUUUUUUAAAUAAUAAAAAAUUGCAUUAGUUUAAAAACUUUAGUUUUAAUUUUAAGAUAUUUUUAGAUUUAUACAUAUUUAAUUAUUUUUAGAUUUUUUAGAUUUAAAUGAAGUUACAAUUAUUUUUGAAAACGGUACCUCUACAUUUUUGAAGGUACAAGGAAAUAAAAUAUGGAUUUGGUAUCGAUACUUCGGCCCGAGUAUCAAUGCUCGAGGUAAGUUUAUUGAUACCUUGCGAAAGGUACCAAUAAUUUUUUUAUAUUUUGAUAUUUGGUAAGAAACAUAAUGUUAGUUUGGUAUCGAUUUUCCAUGAGAUAUCAAUACCACUUAAAGAAAAUAUCGAUAGCCCUAGGACAGUAUCAAUACCUAUGUAACAGUUUUAGAAAUUUUGCAACUGGGCCCAUUUGUAGGUUUGAUUGAUGUUUUUAAUACCCUUAGUGUAUGUAUGGCAUGUUUUAAUGAUAAGAAGUGGUUGAACGACUACAACUCAUACGUAGGAUUGAAUAAAGAUGAUGAUUGGUUACUUGUGAAAUUGUUUGCUAAGUAAAUGAUGCAUGAUGGUGGUGUAACAUCCUAAUAUUUCGGCUUGGCGACUGAGCCGAGUAUAGGGUGUUACAAUGUGUUCCACAAGUUUCAUCAGCAAUCCUCAAUGCAUCUAAUUAAUUGGGAAAAUUGAGAAAAUAGAAAUGGUCAAGAAGAUGUAACAUGAUGAGUACCUCUUUGCACCGUCAAGAAUUUUAGUAAGUCUCCAAAUUCAUUCAUUAACCCUCCUUCCUGUUAAAUAUUUAUCAUUAAUUUUAUUAAAUUAAAACAUAAAUUUUUAUAAAUCUAAAGUGUAAUUUAUGAGCCGGGUUAUUCAAUCCAAAAAAAAAAAAUCAGCCAAGACUCUUUGGACAAAUUGCUUGAGUAAAACCAGAAAAUGAAUAACAAUUUUGAUGGAUUUUGAUUACAAAUGAAUUGAGGCAUAAUGCCAUUACAUAUACCAUGCAUUCAGCUGGUCAAAAUGAGACAGACAUCACCUAAUCAUCAACCUAACUCCACUAAGUAGCCUUGAAACUUAUGAAAACAUAACUUGCACACAUAGGUACGCUGAUUUAUCAAUCUAUCAGCACCUAAUUACAUCAAACAUGUUACCAACUUAGUUCAAAUCAAACUAAGCAAGAAAACAUUAACUUAAAGUAACAAAAAAUGAACAGCAGCAUGAACUUCAGCUGCAACUGCAUGGCUGGAGCAGCUCUGCUUCUUGUCUGCAUGCCGGCCAACUUCAACAAGAUCUGAGUAAGGCUAAUUUGUCCAGAAGUUGCAUCAUGCAAAACUAUUUAAUGGCUUUUAGGUAGCUUUGUCAACGGCAAAAAAAAUGAGAAAAUUAGUCAAAUUUCUUCCAUUUUUAUCUUUAAAAAUUUGGUUUUGUGCGUCAACAUGAAGUACAUGUGGCACGUACAUGCAAACUGUCUGAUUAUUUAGACAUCUACACUAGUUUUUAAAGGUAAAAAUAGAAGAAAAUUUUAAUAAACAAGACCAAUUAACUCUUUUAUCUAGCAUACAAGAAUUAUUCUAUACAUCUUUCAAUAAAUGGGGAAAAUUACAUCCACACAUUCUCCACAUUUCAGACCUGUAAUUCUAGCCAAUUGGUCACAAGCAUACAUGUCCCAUUUCAAUAUUCAAAGGUCUGCUUUGAUUAUUUUAUUUUGUGUUCUGUUGUCGCCCCAAAAUAGUUCCACUUGGCACAUCUCCAUACAUUUCAAACAUACCAAAAAUCUGCUGGCAAGCAAUACAAGACAAGUUCCAGCCACUUCAACAUUUGGCUCCUGUUCAUUGCCAAAAGAAAAAAAUAAACAUUUUUUAUAUUUAAUUGAAGGUCAAAAACACAUAAAAAGACAACCGGACAGCUAGUAUUUCAUCCAAUCUUCACAACAUGUCUGUGUGCGUGCAGAUCCUUCACUUCCCAGAAGCCUUUAGCGCGUAUUCUAUUAUAAAAUCACAGAUUACUAUUUAAAUGAUAAAUAAAUUAUUUAAAGUAUGAAAAUAUACAUGUUUUUUUUUAUUGGCUUAAGGGCGUAAAAAAUCCUUAAAUUUUUUUUUUAAAAAAGACAAUUAAAUUUCUCCUUUUUUUACACUCAAUUGAGCACUUAAAGUUUUAAAAUGCAUCAAAAAUACUCUCAAACUUCUUCCGAAAAAACAAUUAAAUCCUUAUUUUCUUUCCCACUCAAUUGGGUGCUUGAACUUUUUCAUAAUAUUUUUUUGGGCGAUUUAAUGAACCAUACAAGUUUCAAGGCUAAAAGAGGCAAAAGAAAAAGAAAAAGAAAAAGAAGCUAAAAUGACUUUUUGUUUGUAAAGUCAAAAAAUACCAAAUAAAUCAUUAUGUCUUUUUAGUUUUAAUUUUUUACUUGAUUAAAAGAGAAAUAAUUAACGAAUGAAAAAUAGCUAUUCCUAAAUAAAUUUAUCAGAAUUUAUAACAAAUGAGAUUUUAGAUUUGAAGUAUGAGGUUAUAUAUAUUAUAUAAGUAUACCUGUUUUUAUGGAAUCGGUGGAUUAUAUUUUCGACAGUCUUCUUCCCCAAGCGUAGUGAAUAGAGCACAAUUUUGUUCUUUUGGAUGGAAAAGAAUUUCUACAUUAAUUAGAUUUGGUUGACAGGCAAAUGAAUAGAUACACACAUUUUUUACGUGUUAUUAAGGAAGAAGACUAAGUCAAUCUACUUUGUAAUCUCAUCAAUCUUAAUUUUUUUAGUUGUUUAGGGAGUUCAAAUGAAAUACAAGAUUUUGCUAUAAAAAAAAAAAGCAUCCAAUUUUAAGAAUGAAAAAUAUACGGUAAAAAGAAGACUAAUGGUUGUUGAUGAUUGUGAAAAAUACAAAAAUUAUUUGUUGCCUAUAAAUACCAUUCCUAUCCUUCAUCUUCCUCUACAAACAUAACAUGGCCUCCUAUCUCUUUCUCUGCCUAUUCCUCUUCUUUCCCCAUCUUUAUGCUUCUUUUUCUUCUUCAGGAUCUCACUCCUGCUCUUCGCUAAUCCAGUUCAAGAAUUCUUUUUCCAUCACUCAGACAGAUGUUGCUUCUUCUUAUUGCGAUGAUCAAUCUUAUCCCAAGACAGAUUCAUGGAAGGAGGGUACAGAUUGCUGCUCAUGGGAUGGGGUCACUUGUGACCACCUAAAUGCUCGUGUUAUUGUCCUUGACUUGAGUUGCAGUUGGCUAUAUGGCAACUUCCCUUCCAAUACCACUCUCUUCCUUCUUCCUCACCUUCAAAAACUCAACCUUGCCUACAAUUAUUUUAAUCUUUCCAAAAUUCCAUCCGAGUUCGGUCGGUUUAUAAGCCUAUUCUACCUCAACCUUUCCAAUACAGGGUUUGCAGGAGAAGUCCCAUCCCAAGUCUCCCACCUGUCAAAAUUGGUUUCACUUGAUCUCUCCUGUCGGGCUGAUGCACAAACAAUUGACAAACAUGCUCUGGAGGGACUUGUUCACAACCUAACCGAGGUCAGACAUCUGUUUUUGGAUGGAAUCAACAUGUCUUCUGUUAAUGCUCAUGUCUUCAUGAAUCUAUCCUCUUCUCUAAGGUCUCUCAGUCUUGCUUUUUGUGAUUUGCAAGGAAAAUUCCCAAAAAACAUUUUUGAUUUGCCAAACCUCAAUCUCCUCAACUUGGGAGGCAACCAAAACCUCAAUCUUGAUCCUUUGAAGUUCAAUCGGAGCAGCAAUCUUGAACAUUUGGAUCUGUCGUGGAUGUCCUCCUCUACAGAAAUUGAUUCAGUUGAUAAUCUACAGGCCUUAAAGUACUUAGAUCUAUCAGGAAAUUCUUUCUUUCAAGGAUUGUCUGUCUCAAUCACAAAUUUAUCAUCUUUGGAGUACUUGAUUCUUAGAGGCGCAAAUGUUUUUGGAGGAUUGCCUGACUUGACGGGGAAUCUUGUGUCCUUGAAGUUUUUAGAUCUCUCCCAGUCCAACUUAUCAGGACCGGUUCCAAGAUCACUGGGAACCUCUUGCAACUCACUCAUUUAGACUUGUCGCAGAACCAAUUGAGUGGACAAAUUCCAAGAUUAUUGGGGAACCUCUUUCAACUCACUCAUUUAGACUUGUCGUGGAACCAAUUGAGUGGACAAAUUCCAAGAUCAUUGGGGAACCUCUUGCAACUCACUCAUUUAGAUUUGUCGAUGAACCAAUUGAGUGGACAAAUUCCAAGAUCAUUGGGGAUCAUUGGGGAACAUCUUGCAACUCACUCAUUUACUUGUCGGUGAACCAAUUGAGUGGACAAAUUCCAAGAUCAUUGGGGAACCUCUUGCAACUCACUCAUUUAGACUUGUCGGUGAACCAAUUGAGUGGACAAAUUCCAAGAUCAUUGGGGAACCUCUUGCAACUCACUCAUUUAGACUUAUUGGUGAACCAAUUGAGCGGACAAAUUCCAAGAUCAUUGGGGAACCUCUUGCAACUCACUCAUUUACAGUUGCCGGUGAACCAAUUGAGUGGAAAAAUUCCAAGAUCAUUGGGGAACCUCUUGCAUCUCACUCAUUUACACUUGCCGAUGAACCAAUUGAGUGGACAAAUUCCAUUGUCAAUUCUAAACCUAACGCAGCUGGAAUACUUUGUAAUAUCUAAAAAUUCUUUAGAAGGUUCCAUUCCAGAUGAGGUAACCGCUUUUCCUAAUCUAAUAUAUUUACACUUAAAUGACAAUUUACUCAAUGGAACAUUUCCGUCAUGGUUGUUUACUGCUCCCUCCUUAAAGGAAAUAUAUCUCUCUCAAAAUCAAUUCAGUGGGCAUAUCAAAGAAUUCCAAUCCAAAUCACUAGAAUUGAUAGCGUUACAGAAUAAUAAACUCCAUGGUUCUCUUCCAUCUUCAAUAUUCCAACUUCUCAAUCUUACCGACCUCGUUUUAUCCUCAAAUAAUCUUAGUGGUGUCAUAGAGUUUCGCAUGUUCUCAAACCUUCCAAAUCUAAAACAUCUCGACCUUUCAUAUAACAGCCUAUCCUUAACAUCUAAUACUACUUCUACUGUUAAUCAUAUAUUGCCUAAUCUUACAGGCUUACUUUUGUCAUCUUGCAAUCUUGGUGAAUUCCCCCAAUUUUUAAAAGGGCUUAAAAGUUUGGAAAGCUUAGACCUCUCUUGCAACAAAAUUGAAGGCAAGAUUCCACAGUGGAUGCAAGAGGUGGGGAAUGUCUCUUUGACUUACUUAAACGUAUCUCACAACUCUUUGACGAAGUUGAGCACUUUCCAUGGAAGAAUAUUGAAUUUCUUGACUUAAGCUCCAAUUUGAUCAGUGGAAAUCUUCCGAUUCCAGCUUCGACCAUCAAUGUCUUUUUGAUCUCAAAUAAUAGUUUCAAUGGAGAGGUCUCUUCUUUAAUAUGCAAUGCCAGUUCUCUUCGAAUUCUUGAUUUGUCCCACAAUAACUUGAGUGGAACAAUUCCGCAAUGUUUUGGAAAUUUGAGCAACAGCCUUGAAUUCUUGAAUCUGAAGAAGAACAUGUUUUAUGGGACGAUUCCUCCAACAUUUGCAAAGGGAUGCCAAUGGAGUAAUUUCAACUUAAAUGGAAAUUUGUUAGAAGGGCCUUUGACACCAUCCAUCCUUAAUUGUAAUGGUCUGGAAGUGCUAGAUCUUGGUAACAACAAGAUCAAUGAUACAUUUCCUCAUUGGUUGGGAAAUCUUCCAUAUUUGCAAGUUCUUGUAUUGAAGUUAAAUCAUAUGCAUGAUUCCUUGCGUGUCAAUAGCUCCAAGUCUAGCCCUUUUUUCUCUAAAAUCCAAAUUUUUGACCUCUCAAGUAAUUAUUUUACUGGACCCCUACCAGUGAGAUACAUCAACAGCUUCAAGGCUAUCAUAAAUCUAGAGAAGAUUGGGAGUACAUUGUUGUACAUGGGGGUGUAUGAUCGGAUUGCUAGUGGCUUCUAUACCUAUUCCAUUGGAAUUGUUAUGAAAGGACAAGAUAUGGAAUUGGUGAAAAUUUUCACCAUGUGGAUGAUCAUUGAUCUAUCAAACAAUCAGUUUGAAGGGGGUAUUCCAAAGGUUAUUGGGAAGCUUAACUUACUGAAAGGGCUCAACCUUUCUCAUAAUAACCUUAAUGGUGGUAUCCCCACCUCAACAGGGAAUUUGACAAGUCUUGAAUGGUUAUGUAGUUUUAGAUGUUAAGGAUAGGCUGUUAUAUGAAAGGUCGCGAUGUUUUAGAUUUGGAAGGUUUGAGAACAUGCGAAGCUCUAUGACACCACUAAGAUUAUUUGAGGAUAAGCUGAGGGAGGUAAGAUUGAGAAGUUGGAAUAUUGAAGAUGGAAGAGGACCUUCGAGUUUAUUAUUUUCUAGAUCUAAAUAUUCUAGUGAUUUGGUUUGGAAUUCUUUGAUAUGACGGAAGUGUUCCAUUGAGUAAAUUGUCAAAUAACACUAAAUAUAUUAGAUUCGGAACAGCGGUUACCUCAUCUGGAAUAGAACCUUCUAAAGAAUUUUCAGAUAUUUCCAAGUAUUCCAACUGCGUUAGGUUUAGAAUUGACAAUGGAAUUUGUCCACUCAAUUUGUUUGAUCCCAAGUCUAAAUGAGUGAGUUGCAAGAGGUUUCCAAGUGAUCUUGGACCGGUCCUGAUAAGUUGGAAUCGGAGAGAACUAAAAACUUCAAGGACACAAGAUUCCCCAUCGAGUCAGGCAAUCCUCCAAAAAAAUUUGCGCCUCUAAUAAUCAAGUACUCCAAAGAUGAUAAAUUUGUGAUUGAGGCAGACAAUCCUUGAAAGAAAGAAUUUCCUGAUAGGUCUAGGUACUUUAAGGCCUGUAGAUUAUCAACCGAAUCAAUGAAUUCUGUAGAGAAGGACAUCCACGACAGAUCCAAAUGUUCGAGAUUGCUGCUCCGAUUGAACUUCAAAGUAUCAAGGUUGAGGUUUUGGUUACGUCCCAAGUUGAGGAGAUUGAGGUUUGGCAAAUCAAAAAUGUUUUUUGGGAAUUUUCCUUGCAAAUCACAACCAGCAAGACUGAGAGACCUUAGAGAAGAGGAUAGAUUCAUGAACACAUGAGCAUUAACAGAAGACAUGUUGAUUCCAUCCAAAAACAGGUGUCUGACCUCGGUUAGGUUGUGAACAAGUCCCUCCAGAGCAUAUUUGUCAAUUGUUUGUUCACCAAACACAGAGGAGGAGAGAUCAAGUGAAACCAAUUUUGACAGGUGGGAGACUUGGGAUGGGACUUCUCCUGCAAACCAUGUAUAAGAAAGCUUGUAAACCGACCGAACUCGGACCUAUCUUCAAACAUAUUAAAUACCCAUUCACUUCAAUUCUACUAUUCUUAAAUCAUUAAAGUUUUGUGGAAAAUAUGCUUCUUGGAUAAAAAUUAUUCAACACACAUGCCUUGAAUUUUAUGCAAUAAAAUAAAUCAAUAUAGGCCACACAUGCUUUGAAUUUUUAAGUAGUCCACAAUUUUGUUCGUUUGUGUGCAAGAUUCUACAUUGCUUGACAGCCAUACAUACUAAGUAAAUAGACACCCACAUUGUUUACGUAUUAUGAGGAAGAAGAUUAAGUCAAUCUACUUUGUAAUCUCAUCAAUCUUAAUUUUCUCAGUUGUUUAGGGAGUUCAAAUGAAAUACAAAAUUUUGGAAAAAAAAUGUAUCCAAUUUUGUGAAUGAAAAAUAUAUGGUAAAAAGGAUUUGGUAUGGAUACUUCGGCCCGGGUAUCAAUACUCAGAGUAAGUUAAAGCAUCAGUGGAUGAAGAAGGAUCUGGUUGGUGCAAAUGAAGUUAAAGCAUUUGUGCUGUGUCUUCAUAAUUUCUUGUUUAGUAGUCUGUCAGAAAGUUUUUCCUAUGGUGAAAAGUUGCAUUGGUAUGUGUCUGUUUUUAUGAUUGUACCAAUUCCUCUGUAUUUCAUUGCAUUUCGUACUAUUUGUAAGGGUUUAGUUCGAGUGUAACAUCUUGUAUGGUGCAACUAUGUGUGUCUUCUUUCUUGAAUUUCAAUUUUUAGUAAACAUUGUACUGCUCACCAUAAAAAAGGAUACAUGUAGAAUUACAAAAGAUUCAAUUAUUCAAGUUUGAGUUGCAUUUAUAAAGACGUGGCGAUGAGAAUUCAUGAACGUAAGGUAUGGUUUGAGCCCUUUUGCCAUAUGCAUUUAUGUUGCAGAUGUUCAAAUAUUAAUUUAAGAGUAAUAUUUACAAUAGCAUUGCAGAGUAACAUAUUUAAGAUUGGAUUACACAGUCAAAAGAUUGCAGCAACGAUGAGAUUAAUACAAUUACAGGAAUUGGUAUCCUACAUGGCUUUUAGGCACGUAGCUUCAUUGACGAUGAGAUAAUUUUAGGAGGAAGCAACAGCAAGUGUGAAGUCAAUAGACAAUUGAUAGUCUUUAUUCUUUUGUGUGGAAAAUUAUUUGGGACCAAACUUAACGUGUUAUAAGGAAGAAGACUUUGUAAUCUCAUGAAUGUUAAUUAUUUUACUUCUUUGGUAAAAAAAAAGGAAUUAAUUUUAUGAAUGAAAAAUAUAUGGUAAAAAGGAAAUAGUUGUUGAUCACUAACAACAUGAUGAUUGUGGAAAUACAAAAAUUCCCAUAUAUGUGUUGAAUUCUGCAUAAUGUAAAUGUCCCGCAUUGCAUGUGAAUUCUGCAAUAGACCAAAUUUUACGUGUUAUAGUCCUUUAAACUGAGUUAAUGAAAAGUAAUCAUUCUUAUCAAAAUUAGUUAUACUCUUAAUUUAUAAUAAAAGAAAGAGUAAUUUGAGUUUAACUCAAAGGUUAAUAUGUCAUCAAUGGGCGAUGGCAUGGCGCUACCAUGUCAGCGAUUAUUUUCUUCUUUGAGUUAAGGUGAUUUCACCAAUUUUAGUUUACUUUUUAACUUCAAUUUAGGUUUAUGCUUAUUAGCUUCGAAGAUUCUAUGUGGGUGCCACAAUCAAAGGGUGAGUAAAAAGGGUUAAAAAUAAUUUUUUUUAAAAUAUUUUUAUUUUUAUUAAAAAUUUAGAAUUAGAAUUAGACAAAUUUUGUAAAUGUUAAGGGCUAACUUUAUUGAAUUUUUUUUUUCAGAAUUCGAACUAAAAUGACAAAUUUUGUAAAAAGCGCUAAAUUUGUUGAAUUUUUUAUAUUUAAGAUCAAAUUGAUAGAAUGUGUAAAUAUUAGAGGUUAAAUUCGUUAUUAGAUAAAAAAAAUCCACAUCAGCUUUCCGUCACUCAUCUAACGACAACUAAAGGGAGAGUGAUUAAAAUAUUUAAUUUCAAAAAGUUUAGCAACUAAUUGGAAAAUUUAAUAGUUGGGUGACUAUUUUUAUAGUUUACAACUUUUUUGGUCACAUGACUAUUAAGUGACACUUUUUAGUUGGUAUAAUAAUAAUUUUUAUCCUCAAUUUUUAUACUUUCUGUCAAUUUAACUCUAAUUAUAUAAAAUGAUUACAAAAGUGAAAUUCUUUUUAAAUUUUACAAAAUUCUAAAAAUUAAAAAUUAAAUGAAAGUAGAUAAAAAUUUCAAAUAUAAAUAAAGUGAGAGAAAAUGAGGGAAAUAUUAUUUUUAAACCCUCCAAAUUUUCUUUGUAUUAUUUGUAAAGAAAUAUCUAAUAUCCAUUCUUUUAGAAAACAUAGAAAAAAGUAAAAAAAAAAAAGAUUAAGUAAAAUUAUCUGUAUAUAAUCUGCUUUUAUAAUUUGGGUUUUUAAAAAUAAAUUUAAAUGAAUUGAAAAUUCGAAUUGAGUUUGAAAAAGAAAAUUUUGUGGUAUAUUUUAUAUUUUUGCUAGAAAAAUGGCAUCAAAGUUGAUUUUGUAAGCUUUUGUAAUAUAGUUACGGAUGUUCUUCAAGGGCAUGAAACUCAACUUGAAAAUUUUACUAAUUUGGUUGCAAAAAACAUUGAGGAAGCGUAUAAUGAUCUAACCUUUUUUUUGUUUUGUUCUGUUUUUAAUUUGUUAUGGGAUUCUAUUGAAUGAUAAUUUUUUUUAUUUCCCAUACAUAUUAGUUCUUCAACAACAACAUAUUCGAGAUUUUAUUUUUCUAGAAUUUUUAUAUAGAAGUUUAUAUUUUUUAAAAAUAAUUUUGAGUUUUUUUUAUAAUUUUUAUACAGAAGUUUAUAUUUUUUAAAUUGGCAAAAAAAAUUAUAAAAACAAAAUACUAGAAUUGUUAUUAUAGCAACUACAAAGUGUCAUUUAACAAUAGGGUGACCAAAUUGUAACUUUUUUCGUUAAGUGACCAAAACGAAGAUUUACCCAUAGUUCAGUGGCUAAUUAUGUAGUUUACCUUUUCAUAAUUAAAAAAUAGUUGUUAAGUUUUUCUUGUAUUAGAUAACAUUUUAGAUGGUAAAAACCCUCUUUAGUCCCUCUCAAUUUUGAUAUUAAGUAAAUUGGUCCAUUUUAAAAAAAAUUAAAGCAAUUUAAUCUUUGUUAAUUUCGAAAGUGAGCAACUAAGAACAAUUAAUCACAAUGUCAAUAUUUUCCAUCAAUUGUACAUAUUUUUAUUGGUAUAAUAACAAGUUUAUAAACUUGUUUACAUAUUCUGUCAAUUUGAUCUUGAUUUAACAAAUUUAUCCCGCAACAAUUACAUAUUCUAUUAACAUUUACAUAUAAUAUAUAAACAUCGAGAGCUUAUUUUGUUAUUAUAUCAAUAAAAAAUAUAUACAAUUUACAGAAAGUAUUAACACAAUGAUUAAUUGUUCUUAGUUGCUCCCAUUCAAAAUUGAUAAUGAUUAAAUUGCUCUAAUUUUCUGAGAGGAAUCAAUUUGUUCAAUAUAGAAAUUGAGAGGGACGAGAAAUGUGUUUUUAUCCAUUUUAGAUACCAACAAGUGUUUGGCGUAGUGGCAAAUCAUAUUACAUUCUCAAGGAGAUAAUGCGUAUUCAGACGUUGGAGAUAAUAAUGUUGUGUGCGGUAUCCACCGAUCUUGAACACGAAUUGUAAAACAUAUAUAAAGAAUAAAAAAAUAACAUCUUAAUUUAAAUAAUUAAUAAAUUUUAAUUUGAAAAAAUUAUUUUGAGAAACAUAAGUUUUAGUAAGUAGUAAAACUGAAUUAAUUUGAAUUUAAACUUAACGCAACUCGAUUUGAUUAUAAAGAAGUGAUAAUUUGAAUCCAAAAUGACAUGAUCUUAAAAUGAUUUGAAUUAAUUGUCAAACCCGAACGACAAAACUCGAAAUGAUGCAAUCCAAAAACGCUGGUUAAAAUGAUGCAAUCCAAUCGUAGUAAGUUUAACCUGCUGCUUUAGAUUUUGCAUUUUGGUUAAUUGGCUUGUGUUAUGUGUUUCUCUGGCAUCAGCCGAUAUGUGGAUUUGCCUCUCGUGAUGCACUACCAUUCAAGAAGCAUAAUGAUUUGUUCUACAUUGAUGACAAAGAUGUGGAGUUUAAAGAAGUAAGAACUGAUCAACAAUAUUCGAGGUUCUGUUGUAUGUUGCCUUAUUAAAUAAGUCUUCACUUAAAUUCCUAUGUUGCCUUAUGUAUGUAGGUUCUUGAGUCACCUUUACCAAAAGCACCACUUGAUACAUCUGUUACAUCCCACUGGCUUGCGAUUGAAGGCAUUCAACCAGCAAUUCCCGAAAAUGCUUCAAUUGAAGGUACCGUCUUAGCUAACCUAAAUAUUUUCUCGAAGCUAUUUGUGUUGAAUACUCUCAUGGUUCAUGUUCUUUUCUGGUUUUAUCACUUUAAUCUAAUACGACUUAUCUUCAUUUCUACAUGGAAUUGGUAGUUUGCUUUCCAUGCAGCACCUUCUGAUGGUAAAAAGGCUGAAUACAAAGAAGAUGGGCUUUCCGUUGAUGUCAAAUUACCUGUUAAGCAUGUAUUAUCUAGAGAGCUUCAAGUAUGUUGUACAUCUUCAGCAACAUUUUUAUGUUAAAAUACAUUUUGCACAGAAUGUUAUUAAAAGACUAAUUUGGUUGUCAUGCAGCUUUACUUUGACAAGAUCGUGGACAUUACCAUGAAUAAAUCAGUCUCAGUUCUCUUUAAACAAGCAUUACUGAGUUUGGCAACAGACUCGGGAUUACAUCCUUUAGUUCCUUAUUUUACAUAUUUCAUUGCGGAUGAGGUUGUCUUAAAGAUCUUUGAUACCUCAUUAUAUAUGUGUGUUGCAAAGAACUUUUGGUUGGUUAUCUCAAGCUUACAUUUUUGCCACAUUUAUCUCAGGUUGCACGGAAUUUGAAUAAUUUCCCUCUCAUGUUUGCUUUGAAGCGUAUUUGCAGCUUCUUGAACCUGAAAUAAAAAGACACGAGGCCUGGUGUGUUUAUGGGGCCCUGCUGGUAAGUUUAACAUCAAAUUUGGUACCAGUUUAUGAGCAUCGUUUCAUUUAUUUGCUGUAGAACUAACAACACUGCAUAAAAUUUCCACUAACAGCGUGCAGCUGGACUGUGCAUGUAUGAUCGGCUUAAAAUGUUCCCCAGUUUGCUAGCACCCCCAACUCGUCCCAUCUGGAAAAGCAACAACAAAGUUGCGACAAGUAUGAUUUCUUCGAACCAUCAUAUUUACACUUAAUCCACAAGUCUCUUCUCCCCCUUUACGAUAUUCCUUUUUCUGAUCAAUCAAGAUAAACGAAAAGCAAGCACGGACACCUUGAUGCAGCAGCAACCACCUGCCAAGAAAAUAGCAACUGAGAGUGCAAUAGGUAUGAUGCCGAUAAAUUCCACGCAAACUGAUUUACAAGGGGCAGUUAGCGGCUUUUCUACCACCGUAGGAGGUUCCAAUAUCGGUGUAUCAUCAAUGUCACGGCCGUUAUCAAACGAAAACAUGCUAGGAAGGGAGGUUGGGGGUCGAGUUUCAAAGACAUCAACCGUUCUAGCUCAGGCUUGGAAGGAAGACACAGACCCGGGGAACUUGUUAGCAUCAUUAUUUGAACUUUUUGGUGAAAGUAUGUUAUCAUUUACUCCCAAACCUGAGCUUUCAUUCUUCCUUUGAUUAAAUUUCACCUCCAAAAGCUAUGGUUUUUGAAGGAAUUUGUGUAAAUUAUCCCCAUAUUCUUUUCAUUCUUACUGUGUUUAUCUUUGUAAGUCUUCCUUUUUUCCUUGCUCAUAAAUGUAUUGUAGUUAUCAAAAAAUAUAUUCUACUUUGGAUUUUAUUUAUAUUAAAAUUUAGGUUAAAUUCUGCUAUUAGUCUCUGUACUUUACGAAAAUGAUGGAUUUAGUCCUUAUACCUUAAUUUGAUCAAUUUUAGUCAUUGUAUUUUUUGAAUUGGUCAAUUUUAAACCAUUUACUUUUUGAAUUUUGAAAUUUUAGUCUUGAUUCAAAUAAUAUUAAUAAUAAUUAAUACCUAAACAAUGCUCCUUUUCCCAAGGUACCUAAUUUUUAUUUUGGCCAUAAGUAUUACUAAAACUAUUCUUCCAUUACUCAUUUUACACCAAAAUGUUAUAUCGGCUAAAAAGAUUCCAACAAAUAAUAGAUUGUAUGUCAUAUAAGCUUUUAAAAAUAAUUAUUAAUUAAUUAAUUUUUUUAUAUUUUUCUUUCUUAUUCCUUUAUAAUGUUUGACAAUGCCGAUAAUGUUUGAAAUUGGCCCACUUGAGGUCGAAACGUUGGUGAUUAAUUUUGGUUUUGAAUUUCACCACCUACUUCUCUGACCUGAGGGAAACUAGUGUUUUCAAAAACAGAUUGAUUCAACUAGUUGGAUAGGAAAUCGGUCCGGAAAUAGGGGUUGAAUCGAUUGACUUGCGAACAAAAACAAAUCGGUUGAACUAGUUCUCUCCAUUUAUAUUUAUAUAAAUAAUAAUAGUUUUUUUUUACUACAUGUCAAUUUUUAAUUGGUUAAUUUUUUUUUUCAUAUAAACUGAACGGUUUGACUAAUGACGGAGGUACCAAAUUUUAGUCUAGGUACCAAUUUAUGGGUUAAGCCUAUUUCUAAAAUAGACUUUUGACUAAUGGCAGUAGUAACUUGGGAAAAAAAAGUAGUUUAUGUACCACUUGUGACAAAAAAUAAGUUUAGGUACCAACAUGGGAAAAUGAGUAUAAUUUAGAUACCGAUUUAUGAGUUAAGCCUAAUAUAUUUGUCGCAUCAUUUUUUGAAAAUAACAAAACUUAAUAAAUUUAACGGUUAUUGUUUGGUGAUGACUAAAAUUUUAAAAUUUGAAAAGUAGAUGAACUAAAAAUGACCAAAUUAAAGUAUAAAGAUUAAGUCCACAACUUUUGCAAAGUAUAAGGACUAAUAGCAGAAAUUAACCUAAAUUUCAUAUGGGUCAAUUACAAAAAUAAUCACUAAACUAUUCCUUUAGUUCUAUUCUAGUCACUCAACUAUAGAGGUGCUCAUGAGCCUGGCCAGGUCAGGCCUAAGCAUGAUAUUAAAGUACUUUAUGCUUGCUCAAGCUCGGCUCGGCCCAAAAUAUGAGCUUAAAAUUUUGCCUAAACUCAUCCAUAUUUGCAAAAGACUAACCCAAGCUCAUUUUAGGCAUGCCCAUAUAAUUUUUAGUUUUUUUUUUAAAUAUUUAUAUUAUAUUAUUUUAAUAUUUAAUAAUUUAAAUAUUUUUUAUUUAUUGAAAAUUUUUAUAUAGUCAUCUUAACAUUAUUUUAAUGUUUACAUUAUAGUAUUAUUAUAUAUUUAAUAUAAGUUUAUUUUUUUAAUCUGUUCUAAAUUAUAAAAUAUAAAGUAUUAUACACUUAAAAAUGGGCCGGGCUGGGCUCGAGCUUUGAAUGUUCAAGCCUAAACCCAGCUCAUAUUUUAAACGGGCCUAAUUUAUCACCCUUUGAUUUAUCAAAAUUUAUAACAAAUGAGAUUUUAGAUUUGAAUUAUGAGGCUAUAUAUAUAUAUAAGUAUACACAUUUUUAUGAAAUACAAAAUUUUGCUAAAACAAAAAGCAUAUAAAAGUAUACACGUUUUUAUGAAAUAAAAGAAAAAGCAUCCAAUUUUGAGAAUGAAAAAUAUAUGGUAAAAGCAUCCAUAACUUUUCAAUGUUAAAGAAAAAAAAGACUUAACACCAAUGUUGUGGUAUUAUUUGUUGCCUAUAAAUACCAUUCCUAUCCUUCAUCUUCCUCUACCAACAUAACAUGGCCCCCUGUCUCUUUCUCUGCCUAUUCCUCUUCUUUCCCCAUCUUUAUGCUUCUUUUUCUUCUUCAGGAUCUCACUCCUGCUCUUUACUAAUCCAGUUCAAGAACUCUUUUUCCAUAACAGAGGCUGCUUAUUCGUCUUGCGGCCCUAAAUCUUAUCCCAAGACAAAUUCAUGGAAGGAGGGUACAGAUUGCUGCUCAUGGGAUGGGGUCACUUGUGACCACCUAAAUGCUCAUGUUAUUGCCCUUGACUUGAGCUGCAGUUGCCUAUAUGGCACCUUCCCUUCCAAUACCACUCUCUUCCUUCUUCCUCACCUUCAAAAACUCAACCUUGCCGGCAAUGAUUUUAAUCUUUCCAAAAUUCCAUCCGA
RNAcentral lists this long non-coding RNA (35316 nucleotides) under Gossypium barbadense (sea-island cotton). RNAcentral describes it as "long non-coding RNA (GBAR_LNC022897)". The record is from RNAcentral. Lineage: Eukaryota; Viridiplantae; Streptophyta; Magnoliopsida; Malvales; Malvaceae.